RNAcentral lists this ribosomal RNA (604 nucleotides) under uncultured Phialocephala. RNAcentral's name for it is "eukaryotic LSU rRNA". The stretch from base 243 to 396 matches the Rfam family "5.8S ribosomal RNA". Lineage: Eukaryota; Fungi; Ascomycota; Leotiomycetes; Helotiales. The record is from RNAcentral.
CUUGGUCAUUUAGAGGAAGUAAAAGCCGUAACAAGGUUUCCGUAGGUGAACCUGCGGAAGGAUCAUUACAAGUGAGGCUACCGAACGUUGGAAACAGCGGUUAGGAGCUUACACCCACCCGUGUUUACAUACUAUUGUUGCUUUGGCGGGCCGUGGCCUCCACUGCGGGCUCUGCUCGUGUGUGCCCGCCAGAGAACCAAACUCUGAAUGUUAGUGAUGUCUGAGUACUAUCUAAUAGUUAAAACUUUCAACAACGGAUCUCUUGGUUCUGGCAUCGAUGAAGAACGCAGCGAAAUGCGAUAAGUAAUGUGAAUUGCAGAAUUCAGUGAAUCAUCGAAUCUUUGAACGCACAUUGCGCCCUGUGGUAUUCCGCAGGGCAUGCCUGUUCGAGCGUCAUUUAACCACUCACGCCUAGCGUGGUAUUGGGGCACGCGGUCUCCGCGGCCCUCAAAAUUAGUGGCGGCGCCGGUGGGCUCUAAGCGUAGUACAUACUCCCGCUAUAGAGUUCCCCCCGGUGGCUCGCCAGAACCCCCAAUUUUUUACAGGUUGACCUCGGAUCAGGUAGGGAUACCCGCUGAACUUAAGCAUAUCAAUAAGCGGAGGA